Molecule: ribosomal RNA, 490 nt
Filed under: uncultured bacterium
Lineage: Bacteria
Description: partial 16S ribosomal RNA
Rfam family: Bacterial small subunit ribosomal RNA
Source: RNAcentral
AUUGAAUGAUGGCGGAAGGGGGAACACAGGCAAGUCGAACGGUAACAGGAAGCAGCUUGCUGCUUCGCUGACGAGUGGCGGACGGGUGAGUAAUGUCUGGGAAACUGCCUGAUGGAGGGGGAUAACUACUGGAAACGGUAGCUAAUACCGCAUAACGUCGCAAGACCAAAGAGGGGGACCUUAGGGCCUCUUGCCAUCGGAUGUGCCCAGAUGGGAUUAGCCAGUAGGUGGGGUAACGGCUCACCUAGGCGACGAUCCCUAGCUGGUCUGAGAGGAUGACCAGCCACACUGGAACUGAGACACGGUCCAGACUCCUACGGGAGGCAGCAGUGGGGAAUAUUGCACAAUGGGCGCAAGCCUGAUGCAGCCAUGCCGCGUGUAUGAAGAAGGCCUUCGGGUUGUAAAGUACUUUCAGCGGGGAGGAAGGGAGUAAAGUUAAUACCUUUGCUCAUUGACGUUACCCGCAGAAGAAGCACCGGCUACCUCCGUG